Molecule: ribosomal RNA, 492 nt
Filed under: uncultured bacterium
Lineage: Bacteria
Description: partial 16S ribosomal RNA
Rfam family: Bacterial small subunit ribosomal RNA (bases 142-492)
Source: RNAcentral
GGGGGGGGGGGGGGGGGGGCCGGGGGGGGGCGGGGCGGGCGGGGGGGGGGGGGGGGCGGGCGGGUGCGGGUGGCGGGGGGCGGGGGGGUGAGGCGUGCAUAGGCAGCCACUAUGUCGGGGGGGAGCACGGGGGGCCGGAGCCGCUAACGGCGCAUACGACGUACGGGAGGGGGCAGGGGAGCAUCGCGCCUUGCGCGACUGCAUGAGCCGAUGUCGGAUUAGCUAGUUGGCGGGGUAAAGGCCCACCAAGGCGACGAUCCGUAGCUGAGCUGAGAGGAUGAUCGGCCACACUGGAACUGAGACACGGUCCAGACUCCUACGGGAGGCAGCAGUGGGGAAUCUUGGACAAUGGGCGCAAGCCUGAUCCAGCCACGCCGCGUGGGUGAAGAAGGCCUUCGGGUCGUAAAGCCCUUUUGUUGGGGAAGAAAAGCAGCGGGUUUAUCCCCCGCUGUUCUGACGGUACCCAAAGAAUAAGCCCCGGCUAACUUCGUG